GGAUGAACGCUGGCGGCGUGCUUAACACAUGCAAGUCUUAGCGAAGCAGUUAAGUUGAUUUCUUCGGAUUGAUUCUUGACUGACUGAGCGGCGGACGGGUGAGUAACGCGUGGGUGACCUGCCCCAUACCGGGGGAUAACAGCUGGAAACGGCUGCUAAUACCGCAUAAGCGCACAGAGCUGCAUGGCUCCGUGUGAAAAACUCCGGUGGUAUGGGAUGGGCCCGCGUCUGAUUAGGCAGUUGGCGGGGUAACGGCCCACCAAACCGACGAUCAGUAGCCGGCCUGAGAGGGCGACCGGCCACAUUGGGACUGAGACACGGCCCAAACUCCUACGGGAGGCAGCAGUGGGGAAUAUUGCACAAUGAGGGAAACCCUGAUGCAGCGACGCCGCGUGAGCGAAGAAGUAUUUCGGUAUGUAAAGCUCUAUCAGCAGGGAAGAUAAUGACGGUACCUGACUAAGAAGCCCCGGCUAACUACGUGCCAGCAGCCGCGGUAAUACGUAGGGGGCAAGCGUUAUCCGGAUUUACUGGGUGUAAAGGGAGCGUAGACGGCAAGGCAAGUCUGAUGUGAAAACCCAGGGCUUAACCCUGGGACUGCAUUGGAAACUGUCUGGCUCGAGUGCCGGAGAGGUAAGCGGAAUUCCUAGUGUAGCGGUGAAAUGCGUAGAUAUUAGGAAGAACACCAGUGGCGAAGGCGGCUUACUGGACGGUAACUGACGUUGAGGCUCGAAAGCGUGGGGAGCAAACAGGAUUAGAUACCCUGGUGGUCCACGCCGUAAACGAUGAAUGCUAGGUGUUGGGGAGCAAAGCUCUUC
RNAcentral lists this ribosomal RNA (815 nucleotides) under uncultured bacterium. Its description in RNAcentral is "bacterial SSU rRNA". It matches the Rfam family "Bacterial small subunit ribosomal RNA", at positions 27 to 841 of the family's 1533-position model. The record is from RNAcentral.